Non-coding RNA from Bos taurus (domestic cattle), 72 nucleotides. NCBI's taxonomy places the organism in Eukaryota, Metazoa, Chordata, Mammalia, Artiodactyla, Bovidae. The record is from Rfam.
UCCCUGGUGGCUCAGAUGGUAAAACAUCUGCCUGCAAUGCAGGAGACCUAGGUUCAAUCCCUAGAUCGGGAA